This 301-nucleotide ribosomal RNA is filed under the name uncultured bacterium. RNAcentral's name for it is "partial 16S ribosomal RNA". It matches the Rfam family "Bacterial small subunit ribosomal RNA", at positions 509 to 807 of the family's 1533-position model. The record is from RNAcentral.
CAGUCGCCACGGGAAUACGUAGGUGGCAAGCGUUGUCCGGAAUUAUUGGGCGUAAAGGGCUCGCAGGCGGUUUCUUAAAUCUGAUGUGAAAACCCCCGGCUCAACCGGGGAGGGUCAUUGGAAACUGGGAAACUUGAGUGCAGAAGAGGAGAGUGGAAUUCCACGUGUAGCGGUGAAAUGCGUAGAGAUGUGGAGGAACACCAGUGGCGAAGGCGACUCUCUGGUCUGUAACUGACGCUGAGGAGCGAAAGCGUGGGGAGCGAACAGGAUUAGAUACCCGAGUAGUCCCUGUCUCUUAUAC